RNAcentral lists this microRNA precursor (100 nucleotides) under Marmota monax (woodchuck). The record is from RNAcentral. Lineage: Eukaryota; Metazoa; Chordata; Mammalia; Rodentia; Sciuridae.
UAUAUAUACACACACACACACACACACAUACAUAUAUAUGUCUAUAGACACGCAUAUAUACAUAUGUGUGUAUAUGUGUGUGUGUGUGUGUAUAUAUAUA